RNAcentral lists this non-coding RNA (29 nucleotides) under Rattus norvegicus (Norway rat). Lineage: Eukaryota; Metazoa; Chordata; Mammalia; Rodentia; Muridae. The record is from RNAcentral.
UGACAGUGUAGAGCAUUCCUGCAUAUUGU